ACGGCCGUACCAUGCUGAAUAUACCGGUUCUCGUUAGAUCACCGAAGUCAAGCAACAUUGGGCGCGGUCAGUACUUGGGUGGGUGACCACCUGGGAACACCGCGUGCCGUU
RNAcentral lists this ribosomal RNA (111 nucleotides) under Caerostris darwini. The record is from RNAcentral. Lineage: Eukaryota; Metazoa; Arthropoda; Arachnida; Araneae; Araneidae.